AUACCAUGCUUCCAGGAAAAGUCUCUAAGCUUCAGUUACAUAGGAAUCGUACCCGAAACCGACACAGGUGGUCAGGUCGAGUAGACCAAAGCGCUUGAGAGAACUCUGCUGAAGGAACUAGGCAAAAUGGUACCGUAACUUCGGGAGAAGGUACGCUGCCGACGGUGAUAGGAUUUACUCCUUGAGCUAUUGGCAGCCACAGAAACCAGGCCCCUGCAACUGUUUAUUAAAAACAUAGCACUCUGCAAACACGAAAGUGGACGUAUAGGGUGUGAUGCCUGCCCGGUGCUGGAAGGUUAAUUGAUGGGGUUAGCGUAAGCGAAGCUCUUGAUCGAAGCCCCAGUAAACGGCGGCCGUAACUAUAACGGUCCUAAGGUAGCGAAAUUCCUUGUCGGGUAAGUUCCGACCUGCACGAAUGGCAUAAUGAUGGGGGCGCUGUCUCCAGCAGAGACUCAGUGAAAUCGAAUUCGCCGUGAAGAUGCGGUGUACCCGCGGCUAGACGGAAAGACCCCGUGAACCUUUACUGCAGCUUGACAUUGAACUUUGAUCUUACUUGUGUAGGAUAGGUGGGAGGCUUUGAAACCGAGACGCUAGUUUCGGUGGAGCCAAUCUUGAAAUACCACCCUGGUAAUAUUGAGGUUCUAACUCUGUCCCGUUAUCCGGGACGAGGACCAUGUCUGGUGGGUAGUUUGACUGGGGCGGUCUCCUCCUAAAGAGUAACGGAGGAGUACGAAGGUGCGCUCAGCGUGGUCGGAAAUCACGCGUAGAGUAUAAAGGCAAAAGCGCGCUUAACUGCGAGACCCACAAGUCGAGCAGGUACGAAAGUAGGUCUUAGUGAUCCGGUGGUUCUGUAUGGAAGGGCCAUCGCUCAACGGAUAAAAGGUACUCUGGGGAUAACAGGCUGAUACCGCCCAAGAGUUCAUAUCGACGGCGGUGUUUGGCACCUCGAUGUCGGCUCAUCUCAUCCUGGGGCUGAAGCAGGUCCCAAGGGUAUGGCUGUUCGCCAUUUAAAGAGGUACGCGAGCUGGGUUUAGAACGUCGUGAGACAGUUCGGUCCCUAUCUACCGUGGGCGUUGGAAAUUUGAGAGGAUCUGCUCCUAGUACGAGAGGACCAGAGUGGACGAACCUCUGGUGUACCGGUUGUGACGCCAGUCGCAUCGCCGGGUAGCUAUGUUCGGAAGGGAUAACCGCUGAAAGCAUCUAAGCGGGAAGCCUACCUCAAGAUAAGAUUUCCCUAGGACUUUAUGUCCUCUAAAGAGCCGUUGAAGACUACGACGUUGAUAGGUUGGAUGUGGAAGCAUAGUGAUAUGUGAAGCUGACCAAUACUAAUUGCUCGUGAGGCUUGAC
This 1347-nucleotide ribosomal RNA is filed under the name metagenome. Its description in RNAcentral is "bacterial LSU rRNA". It matches the Rfam family "Bacterial large subunit ribosomal RNA", at positions 1597 to 2925 of the family's 2925-position model. The record is from RNAcentral.